Manis pentadactyla (Chinese pangolin) is the source of this 6491-nucleotide long non-coding RNA. RefSeq lists it as uncharacterized. NCBI's taxonomy places the organism in Eukaryota, Metazoa, Chordata, Mammalia, Pholidota, Manidae. The transcript has 4 exons. The record is from RefSeq and is a predicted model, not a curated record.
UAUUGACUUUCCAAAAUCUGAAAAAAACGCUGAUUUGCAGAAGUACAAGUGACCCUAAGGGUUUGGGAUAUGGUUAUCCAUCUCAAAGGGUAUUUGGGAACCUAAAUGGACUAGACAGCAGCUAUUUGGGGGUUAAUGUAAGAUCAGGAAUAACCACGCUCACUAAGUAUGGGCUGCUUUUACCAUCAAACCAUGGUCGAGUGACAGCAUGCAUGUACGUCUAGCUACAAAACUGUGUUAGGAAGCACAUAAGACACUGUAGCUUACACAUUGGCCUAGUUUGUAUCUAUUUAUAUCUAUCUUGAGUGUUGAACUUCCUCCCAAUUUUCUUUGUAGAUGCCUUCUCAAUGCUUUCUAACUCCAUUUUUAGGUCGGAGGACAAAUAGCAGACCCUUCCUCUCUCUCAAGCACUCUUUGCUCUGAUCACAGGGAACCAGGGAGCUGAGAACUGGCCAAGCUGCAGGGCCUUUCUCUGAGAGUGAUGAUUAAUGGCCAAACACAGCUAAAUGUGAAAUAGUAAUGCAGUCAAGCUUUCAGGACAGUUUCUCAGGAGCCUGGUGCUAAGAACUUCUCAACAGGGACAACUUAGUGGGGGAAAUGGAAAAUGAACACACAUGAUGUAAAACUUUGGCUACAAAUAUAAGCUGAUUUGGUGGGGACAGUGCAGUGGUAUUUUGUUUGGUGUUUUCUCCAUUGUGAGGUCUGCUGCCUGAAGCAGGUAAAAUUCUUUUUCCACACAUAAACUUAGGGGGUUGAGUAUGAGGAAGAAUAAAUGGGUCUAGGCUAGAAAAGCUUGAUGUAUUGAAAUAAGAAGUGAAAACUUGUUGUCCGAUGGUGAUAAGAUCAUCAGAAACACCCCUCUAUAGUACAGAAUUUUGGUGUUUAGUGAAAAAAAACUGGUAGCAAAAGUGGAUUCAUUUAGCCUAUCUGUGCCAGUUUCCCAGCCUCUGGCUGAACAGAGACUACUUUUUGAGGAUGCGCUCCGUGACAUAUAUUCUUUUGUUAGAAGUACUUUCGGUUUUGGUUUUUGUUGUGUUUUGUUUGGCCGUUAAGAUGUUGGAUUCUCAUUACCUAGUCCAAGAUCUGAAUUAUCUGUGUUGUCUUCAUUAAAAAAACAAACAUACAAAAAAGAACAAGUGAAAUAAAUCAUUCUAAGUGAAAAGGAGAUACAAACAGAGCACUGAGAAGCUGAAGUUUUAAUAACAUUUUAUGUUGACUUUGUAAACUUAGCUACAAGUCAUUUCUUGCUGACAGAUACUUUAGAGGCUGAAGAAACAAAUUUGUCUUGUGCACAAUUGCCAUGAAUUUUUAAUAGAAUCUACAUUUUUCCUCUUUAAGUGUCAUGACUUUUUGUGUUCUGUGUGCCCCUCUUCCCACCUCCUAAUUUGUGUUGUCUCAAGACAGAAAUAGAGAACUUGUAGAAAAUUAAAGCACUCACAAUUGGUGUUAAGGGAAAAGAAGGAAAUCACAAGAGCUCUCUCGUCAUCCUGUAAUGGAAGAGUACAAGUAACCACACUUUUCUUGGGCUUCUCCAAGGACGCUUGCAGCCCAUGAAGUCCUCCUGAGAGUCAGUCAGUAAUCCCUCAGUGGUCAGCACUGCAUUUAUUCAGACUCCAGUUUCCUGAAUGACUGAAAAAAUUAUUAGUCUCUCAAAUGUUCAGAUUUCCAGCCUGAGUCCUAAGGGACCACUCAAGAAGACCAGAGCCUUUGCUCUGGGGAAAACCAGAUGCCAUGUUCUGAGCCACAUGGCAGAGAACUGACAUCUCUAGACAACAUCUGGCAGAGACCCAAGGCUGUCAACAGUUGUAGGAAAAAAGUCUGUGAAAUUGCCUUAGAAUACGGUCUUUCAGCAACAUAAACAAGUCCAGCAAAGUGUGGUCCGUGCAGCACUGUGAUUCACAAACUGUUACUGAUCCACGGCAAGGUAAACACAGAAACUAAGAGUUAGUGUUUGGAAGCAUUUGUAACAAUGUGAUGUGCUGUUGACAUCCAAGUGCAUGAUUUUGUUUGAUACAAAAGUGUUGGUUUAUGACAAAUUGGAUAUAAAAAAAUAAUAUACCCUGGCCCUUCCCACUGGAAUAGAAUCUGGUGUUUUGUAACAGGAUUUUUGUUGUACUGGUAACUUAGUAAGACAUAGUCAUGUGGUUUCAAAUGAGAACAUCUGGGGGCCCAUCAGGUGGGAGUGACAAACAGGUCCUGAGAUUGCAAGCGACCUGGGAAGGCUGAUGAGCGAGCCCAUUAAUAACAUCAUGCAAAUGGGUUCUAGAUGCAGAUGGGUGGGUCUGCUACAGUUCACUCACCAGCUAAUACAGUUGUAAUGUGUUGCUUCCUAUCUGAGAGAAGGCAGCCACCUCAGGGUAUUAUGUAUGUCUCACAUACAUAUAUAAAUGAAUUCCUUUGGAGUUAAAUGCAUUUUAAGUCGAUAAUUCAUCUUCUCUGAACAGGAAGCCAACAACUUUCCUGGAAAUCUAGCAAAACAACCAUUCUGUGACCAGCCUUAUGUCUUGUUGCAUGUGCACUUAAAAAAAGCAGACUGACUUUUUCCUUUUCUGUUUUAGAAUCAGUUCCAAACAGUAAAGCCUGCCAGAAAAAACAGACAAACUCUCAGGAACAACAAUGCCCAUUAUGUGUGGGGUAGGAGCUGCCAGAUUUUGAUUACUGGACAGACAUUAACCCCUUUGGUGUCCUUUUGGGGAAAUGCCAAGUCUGAAUGCAGACACUUCCAGGAUUUUACACUCACUCGUGGUGUGAGAGCAGGUGAUUUAUAAUGACUUGUGCAAAAAAGGACUGUUGUGAGAAGGAGGUACGAGUUCAAGGCCACAUGUCCUUGUUUCCUGCAUUCUGCCAGAACUCAUUUUGGUGAGCGGACACAGAUUCGAUCACCUCUGCUUUUCUCUUUGUGAGCCUGCUGGUCGUGGGCAAGGAGAACUCUGCCCUGCCAUCUGCCCUGCCUGGGUGUUCAGCUGGCUGCCCCAAGGAAAGGGGCAAAAUUGGCAUUCACAGAAGAAAACCUGUGGGUUUCCUGAGGCCAGCACUUACGGCAAAGGUGCUAGAAAGGAGAAUUCCUGAGAAGUGUUUUCCCCUCUGUCCUAUACCCUGUAUGUGGACAUACUAUAUCGCAUUUUGAGAGUUUAGAUAAGCAGAGAGCCAUGCAAUCUCUAGUGGGAGGAUAGCAGUGUAUAUGUAUUAUGUGUGUAUAUGUGUGUUUCAUUUGUCCUUUUACUUUACUCUUUAAUAUAUAUUUAUUGAUAGUCCACUGUGGUACAGCUGGGAUACCAAGUUAAUUACAGUAAUAACAAUGGCUACCAUUUAUCAAGAACUUAUUCAUGUCAGUGUUAUGUUAAACACUUCACAUACAUGUGCUUAAAUUCACAUACUCCUUUAAAAAACUAUGAAAUAGCUCCAUUUUACACAUUAGGAAAUUAAGUCCCAGAAAAGUCAAGGGCCCUGGCUACAGAGCUAGGAUUCAUAUCCAGGUCUAUGUGAUACAAAACCCAUUCCUUUCUUCAUUUUGCCAAACUGCCUUCCUAAAGAUGAGUUAAAACAAAAAAUGCAUUUACUUAAUUUUUGGAAUUCACAUUCUGGUUGGCAUGAACGGUGUGUGAUGCAGAGUGAAAGAGGUUCAAACGUGGCUGUGGACUAAAUACCAUGAUUGAUUGUGCUGGAAGGCAGGGGGAGGUGGGAAAGGGUAGAGCAAGGCACCACAGAGACAGUAGUUCUUGGAAGAUGCCUCUGUGGAAGGGGAUAUGUGCUUCAGAGAGGGAGAGAGAGAUUCAGUUGGGCAUGCUUUGUUGUUAGGAAAAGACCUGGACUUAUUCAGAGGCAAAGAAACUUCUGGAAUGCAGAGUGAUUCUAUACUACAGAAUAGAGGAACUCAGCAGGAAAUUCUCCAGGGUUGCUUCUCCACUUACCCUAUCCGUAUCUUGUUUCUUGUUCAUGGCAUUGCCGUGUCCCACUACAAGGAGAUUCAGGGACAAAGGGAGUUCAGCCUCGGUAAAUCAGAGGGUGUGAUGAUUCUUAUGGAAACCACAGGAAAGAGACAAAGGUAACCCAUCACUGCUUGCUGCAAUGGUGGGACCUUGUGGGAUCCAGGGCUGAAGGACCUGCUGACCCUGGAAGUGGCAGUGCAGGACCACGUGGAGGGAAGAAGAAGAACUGAUACCACUGGUUCUCUUUGAUUGUGUCGUUUCACCUUGAAGGGCAUGGCAGCCUGGUUCUUUCAUCAGAGACAGUGGGAUAGAAAAGGAAAGGAAUGUAGCACCACAGCCAGCCCUCCUUGAAGAGGACAGUGAGAAAGACGAUGCUUUGUGUUAACACUGGGAGGUGAAGUGACCACCUAUCUGGUCCCAGCCAGGGCAGCAAUCCAGCCCAAAGGAAAGGAUCACACUGACUUUUCAGCCAGGACCGAGCCUUGGGCUGUUCUGUUUGGAAUACAUGAAAAGCCUUCGACAAAAUGCAACCAGCACUGUUGGCAACCACAUCACAGUUCUUUGGGGUUUUUCUUUGAGAAAUUGAGACUUACCUUUGAAACUUGGGGGUAGGAUGUUAUUCUCUUAGACUGGAAUAAUCAUUAGACUGUUGAUUUAUAGUGAUUCUGGGUUUUGUACAUAUUUUCAAAAGGGAUGCUGGGCUUUCCUACAUUCAUUACAAAGUCUUCCCAGCCUCCAGAUCUUUCCAUAAAAUGCCUCUUCUCUAGUCAUUAAAUACAUCCUGUGAGUGAAUAUGGUUAUGGACUAUUUACAGCUAUCCUUGUUCAUCGUAUCAAAAGAUCAUGAAAAAAAAUGCCCAUCAUUAAAGGUCCAAAGUGAUUGGAUUGGCAAGGGGAAUGGAGAUGGGGCUGGCAUAGGAGAGAGGAUCUGUCUCUGGGAUUUCGUGAAAUCCGGAACAAUAGGACAGCUGCUUUUCUAUAAACAGAUUAUUAUUAUUAUUUCUACCUAGACAGCUUGAUAGCAGCCAUUAUCUUCUUUCUGGAUGUCUUAUCAAGUUCAGGCUGUGUGCAGCAUGGACGAUAAGGAAUGAGAAAUGUCACCCAUGGGAUUGUCAAAGAUUAUUUCUAUGCACUGCUGUUCAGCAACAGCCAAUCCCACAGAACUGAAAAGUAGUUCUUUUGUUCACACUGGGCAGUUGCUAUUCUAACUACACCAAGAGAGCAGAAAGGAUGUAGUUGCCAUUGUGUGAAAGAUUGUAAUUUUAUUACUCUCGGCUAAAGUUCAAGCAGUCUUGAUUUUGAAAAGCAGAAUUAUCAUGGAUUAUCUUUGAAGAGGCAGAAAACAAGGGAAGGAAGGAAGAAAGAAAUGAGCUCAGAGCUUUCAGGACUAUGAAGGAGUGUUUAGAAAGAAAAAAAAAAAGAGACUAGUACAAUACUUGCAAUCCCUGGAACUUAAAAUGCCAGGCAUAUAAGUCUCAAAGGAAUGGCAUAUCAUUGCAUUACCAUUACUUGUGAUCCAAUUGUUUAAUGUAAAGGCUCCAUCCUACAUAUGACUCAUCAGAAAAUAGUUGAUUUACUGAAUUUCUGUUUGUUUCUGUUUCAUACUAAGUUCUUUGAUAAAAUUAAUCAGUUGAUAGUUAAAAUUUUUCCUUUGCUCCCCAAUGAAAAAAUAAAUGUUUUAUUAUAGAUGUAGAUGUGCUGGCUGUAAACAGUUCAAAAAAAAAAAAACCCACCAAUUUUAUUGCAUUUUUGUUCCAGUAUCUCACAGCUUCCCAACAUUUUCUCUUCCUAGUAAAAAGAUUGGAUUAGGAAAAAACAAAAGCAGAAACGAAGGUGACUAAGCUGUGCUUUAUUCCUGUAGGAUUUCCUCUCAACGUGUGGAGACUGCUCGAGUCUUCUUUAUACACAGUUUCAGGGUCAUGCUGGUAUUAUAAGGCAAGUUGCUUGGAAGCAUGCCAAAUAAAAUUUUUCCAAUGUUUUAAAUCACUGCUCUGAAACUGGAAUUUCAAAUGAAUUAAAAUACUUCACUCUCACACCAACAAUUUCUGAAGUUAGAUUUCAAUCAUGGAAUCAUUAAGAUGGGAGUAGGAGGAAGUUGGGAAGGCAAAGAGCAAAGAGAGGGCACAGAGGCAGAAAGGAGGAUGUGGGAGAAGAGCAGAGGACUUUUGACUCUCUUUUGGAGGAUGAACUCCAGGAAGGCAAGAUGUGCACACAGAGUUCUUAAAACACUGAGCGUGGAGUAAGUACCGAGGAGGUACAUUAAAGGGAAUAGUGAGGGGUGUGUAGAAAAGAUGGUUUCAGUGUUAAUAUAUCCAAAAGAACAUUCUCCUAACUAAACAAGUUAUUUAGGCUUUUUUGGCAGUUAAGUAUUUAUCAGGAAGCCUAAAGCUUCUCCAACUAUAGUACACAUAUGAAUUAUCUGGGGAUCUUGUUAAAAUUCAGAUUCUAAUUCCGAGGUCUGGGACAGGGUCUGAGAUUCUGUAUUUCUACCAAACUCCCAUGGGAUGCUACUGGCCCCCAGAACACACUGAGUCAUAUACAUUGGGGACUGGGCGGGGAGUCA